This is a long non-coding RNA of Passer montanus (Eurasian tree sparrow), 3339 nucleotides long. RefSeq lists it as uncharacterized. The record is from RefSeq and is a predicted model, not a curated record. The transcript has 2 exons. Lineage: Eukaryota; Metazoa; Chordata; Aves; Passeriformes; Passeridae.
CUCCCAGAGUCCUGCUCAGAGUCUUGUUCUUCAGGAAAAGAGCUUUGGAGGGACCCUCUUGUUCCCACAUGGAGCCAGCUCCCUCCAGAAUAUUGAGGCUGAAGUGGAAAGAUCUGCAAUAGAGGAGAUUCUCGUGUUGGGUACUACUGAUCCUUCUCGCCACAGCACUGGGGGCUUUUGCCCAUUUUCCUGGAUAUAAUCAUGGACAGCAGAGCCAGCAGCCAGGCACAGGCACCACACAAGGAUCACCAGAGAGGGACAAGCCAGGCACGUGUUUGUCCUGCUGUUUUGGCUUGGAUUCACCUCUAGCCCCUGGCUCUCACUCCACGUGCCCAUGGCUCUCCAGUGCCAUCCCACAGCUCCUGUGGGCUUUGCCCAGCUCAGGAUGGCAGGGCCAUGUGCAGGGAGGCACCAGCAGCUGCUCCUUCCACUCCUUUCCAAUGCAAGACCCAGUUUCAUGGGGAGAUGAUGAGACCUGGCUUUGCUCUGGACACAAACCUGACCGUGCUGGUGUGGGGGGGUUGAGGAUUUGGGCCUGGUUUGGGGUGCUCUCACAGACUGCACUUGCAACAUGGGCACAGGCAGGAAAGGUGAGCAGCACUGAUCCCUGCCUGGCUGUUAGGAUUGGCAAACUCUGCUGCCAGAUCGUGCCUGUUGAAUCCCUCCUAUUUCAUAGUGGAGGGGGCCCACAGGCAUUUGGAAAUGGGCACUGGCUCAUUAGAGAUAUCAGGGGCUUGAGCCCAGCUCAGAUCUCUGACCACAUCUGUAAUCCUUCUUGUUAGGGUGGCUGGUACAGCCCCAGAGCCCAGCCUGGCAGUGCUGGGCUGGCAGAGACCUGGGCCCUCCCUGCUGGGAUGCUACAAGUCCCCGUGGGUUGCAGCCCUCUCCAGCUUUAUAAUGUGGGCUGCUCUUUCUCAGCUGCUGGGAAAGCCUCACCACCAGAGAGACAUCAUUAGUUUUGAUUAAUGACAUCCAGAAGAGAAAACCUAAUUUUCUAAAAAGGAAAACCUUACCCAUAACUCACUGCAGAGAAUUUAAACAAAAUGUUAUAGAACAUCCACGCUGACUCACAUUGAUUUCAAAUAUGUUCCAAGGCACUCCCCAAAGCAAAGAAAGGGGGAUGGUGGGGACAAAUCUGGUCCCCAGCAGAAGAUGCUCAGUGUAACCCCACAUCUCUCUCCCACAAUGCUGCUUUCAAAGGACUGACCCCAAACCAACAGGGCUGGGACAGUGCCCACAUACCUGGGGAGCAGACUGUGUUUGAGGUGUGAUGCUCAGGCAGUUUGGUGCACUCUAUCCCAAAACCCAUGUGCCCAUCAGGACUUAGCUCUGUACAGUCUUGGUCGCUAAUGGCAUCUCCACCUAUACCAAACCACCAGCAGAUAAUUACUUUCCUUUGCCUCCUGUAAGUUAGCAAAGGAUGAAUUUAAUACUUCCAGGUCUUCACUGUCUAAGUUUCCAUUUAGUUCCUUGGCUUGAUUGUCUCUUGAAAAGGUACCUACAGAUAACUUGAUUAAAUUAAUUGUAGAGCUCUUUUUAAAACGCUAUUCUCUCUCCCUUUCUCUCUCCAUCUCUCUCUCCAUUUAUUUAUAGGCAGCUUAGAGUAACGGGUUUGGGCAGUUAAGUGAUCUGCAGUGCUUACCGUGACAAUGCGAAGCCUGUAAUUCUUCAAGAGAUAAAAUGCUGGCCCACUUGCAAUAUUUCUGCAUGCAGAGGUUCCAAGCACAGGUGCUUUUCCCUGGUAUCAUCUUGCAGCAUGGUGGGCUGCGAGGGAGAGGGGGGAAAAGUCACCUUUGCCUUAUGACGCAUAUAAAUUCUUUAAAUAGGUUAUGCACAUGGCAAUGUGCAAUAUCUGCGCGUGGCUCCGGGUUAAGGAGGAAAGGCCUGACUUUAUUGGCUCCCACUGCAGAAAUGAUCGGAGCUGCUGUGAUUUUUUAAAUUUGAUUUACUGGGUUAUUUUUAGCAGUGGGGUGUUCGUGCUGCAGGGCUCUCCAGGAGAAAUCAACACCCCAGUGCUGAGAUGUGAACCAUCACAGGAGUGACUUGGACAGCAGUGGUGUAGCAGGGACUUGCUUUCCCCAUUUGGUGACAAAUUGCCAGAUUAUGAUAUUGCAAGAAAGAAAAGCUUUUUUUUUCUUUUUUUUUCCCUUUAAUUCCUCCCUUUUGUUUCUUUUCCACUACUUUCCUGUUGGUUUCUGGUGAUGGCAAAUAACAACCAUUGCUUGAGCAGGCCUUAAACCUCCUGAAAAUGCUGAUUUUAAUGCCAGAUGAGAAAACACAGGAGGCUUCACAGUAGGGAAGCAAAGUUUGCUAACCUCUAAAAAAAGAUUUCAGGUGUUCCAGCCUUUUCCCUCCCAUUUUUCAAGGAGAGCCCUGAGGGGAGAAGAGUUCCGCAGCCUGAGUUCCUUGGCUGUGGGCUGGGCUGGUUGUAGCAGACGACAUCUGUGUUGCUGUGUGUUAGGUGUCAUUUCAGACACCAAAACAGGGCGUGGAGGAGGACAGCACACCAUAAAACACUGAAAGGAAAGGAGGCAGGAGGUGAUAAUUAAAGCAUCUGGAUGAAAACAGUAGAUAACAUUUACUUAUGUCACACUGUAAUAGCAACGUGGCUCUCAGAACAGACAGAGCCAAAUAUCAAGUUUAAAAACGCUUCAGGCUGAUGGUUACUGCUGCAGACUAUUCCACUGCUGUUCAACCUGCCUCUUUAAUUCAGUCCCACUCUUCAGCUGUAGCCUCUAAGAAGCUUAAAUAAAUCCUGACUGCCUGAAAGUGAAGCCAUUUGAACCAGUGCGGCAUCAGGCAGCAAGUUCAGAAGAGGUCCAGGCAGCUGGGAAAGAAAAGACCCUGAGGAAUUCUCUUCUCUGCUGCCACAGCCCAUGAGGCCAAAUGCUUUGCUAAAGCUGGUAAAAUGGAACCAAAUCAACUGUUCAAUGGAUUUGGUCCCCUUCAACCAGCUGUAGCUGUGCAUUGAUCUCUCAGACGCACCUUGGAGGAUGAAACACUUGAACCCGACCAGGGCGGCUCAGGUAGAAGACAAAUGGCCACUUGAACACUGCUGAUAAGGAAAUGAUGAUGAUUGGCAUCUACAGAUCUAUCACUCGGGCUCUAAACUGGUGGGCUGAGCCCGAGUCAUUAUGUGGUUGCCAGUCAAUUCUGCCUAAGGGAGACCACUCAAGAUUGAUAAUCCCUAUCACCCUCCUCCAUUGAUCUCAGCUGUAACCCAGUGUGUUCCCAUUACAAAUGCUGUGCAUUUUCAUAUGUGUUUGCUCAUGCUCACCUAGUAGCCCCAUGCCUCAGUGUUUCAUCUGCUGCAGGGAAGAAUAAAGGUUUUGAUCUGAA